This 73-nucleotide transfer RNA is filed under the name Lachnospiraceae bacterium. Its description in RNAcentral is "tRNA-Thr". It matches the Rfam family "tRNA". From Rfam's summary of the family: Transfer RNA (tRNA) molecules are approximately 80 nucleotides in length. Their secondary structure includes four short double-helical elements and three loops (D, anti-codon, and T loops). Further hydrogen bonds mediate the characteristic L-shaped molecular structure. tRNAs have two regions of fundamental functional importance: the anti-codon, which is responsible for specific mRNA codon recognition, and the 3' end, to which the tRNAs corresponding amino acid is attached (by aminoacyl-tRNA synthetases). tRNAs cope with the degeneracy of the genetic code in two manners: having more than one tRNA (with a specific anti-codon) for a particular amino acid; and 'wobble' base-pairing, i.e. permitting non-standard base-pairing at the 3rd anti-codon position. RNAcentral also lists the same sequence under 1 other name. Lineage: Bacteria; Bacillati; Bacillota; Clostridia; Lachnospirales; Lachnospiraceae. The record is from RNAcentral.
GCUGAAGUAGCUCAGUUGGUAGAGCACUUCACUCGUAAUGAAGGGGUCGUGGGUUCGAGUCCCAUCUUCAGCU